UGCUCUAGAGACUGCAAAAAGGCCAG
This 26-nucleotide non-coding RNA is filed under the name Mus musculus (house mouse). The record is from RNAcentral. Lineage: Eukaryota; Metazoa; Chordata; Mammalia; Rodentia; Muridae.